This is a long non-coding RNA of Saccostrea echinata, 406 nucleotides long. RefSeq lists it as uncharacterized. The transcript has 4 exons. The record is from RefSeq and is a predicted model, not a curated record. Lineage: Eukaryota; Metazoa; Mollusca; Bivalvia; Ostreida; Ostreidae.
UUCCAGCUAACGCCAUUUUAUCUAAAUAUAGUAACCAACCGGAAGGCAGCAGGCAUCCAUGUUAUCACGUUUGUGAAAGAAGACCGUAGCUUAGGGUAGAGGUCUGAAAUUAAAAUUAACAGUUUACAAGAGUGAAAUAUCAACAAAAAGAUUAUCCAUAUUAAGGUGCUGUACUGGAGGGAUAAGGAAAGAAAAGAAAGUGACGUUUAUGAUUUGACUGAAAGGGAGAUUAACACAGACAUAAAAGAGGGCUUUCUAUUUAUCAAAGACACAACCAAAUUUGACCACUGUUACGCAGCUUCUUGACCACAUUUUCAGUCAGUGUGGAUUGCCACGCUAUACUGAACAGGUCAGACAACAAUUAAAAUACAACUUAUAGAUACCACAAUUUGAGAAAAUGACUAUA